RNAcentral lists this ribosomal RNA (253 nucleotides) under uncultured bacterium. RNAcentral describes it as "partial 16S ribosomal RNA". It matches the Rfam family "Bacterial small subunit ribosomal RNA", at positions 524 to 776 of the family's 1533-position model. The record is from RNAcentral.
UACGAGAGGCCCAACCGUUAUUCGGAUUUACUGGGCUUAAAGAGUUCGUAGGCGGCGCAGAAAGUAGGGUGUGAAAGCCCUCGGCUUAACCGAGGAAUUGCGCUCUAAACUACUGUGCUUGAGGAACCUAGAGGUGAGCAGAACUGAUGGUGGAGCGGUGAAAUGCGUUGAUAUCAUCAGGAAUACCGGAGGCGAAGGCGGCUCACUGGGGGUUAUCUGACGCUGAGGAACGAAAGCCAGGGGAGCGAACGGG